AGUGAACGCUGGCGGUAGGCCUAACACAUGCAAGUCGAACGGCAGCACAGGAGAGCUUGCUCUCUAGGUGGCGAGUGGCGGACGGGUGAGGAAUACAUCGGAAUCUGCCCAGUCGUGGGGGAUAACGUAGGGAAACUUACGCUAAUACCGCAUACGACCUUCGGGUGAAAGAGGGGGAUCGCAAGACCUCCCGCGAUUGGAUGAGCCGAUGUCGGAUUAGCUAGUUAGCGGGGUAAUGGCCCACCAAGGCGACGAUCCGUAGCUGGUCUGAGAGGAUGAUCAGCCACACUGGAACUGAGACACGGUCCAGACUCCUACGGGAGGCAGCAGUGGGGAAUAUUGGACAAUGGGCGCAAGCCUGAUCCAGCCAUACCGCGUGGGUGAAGAAGGCCUUCGGGUUGUAAAGCCCUUUUGUUGGGAAAGAAAUCUUUCAGGCUAAUACCCUGGGAGGAUGACGGUACCCAAAGAAUAAGCACCGGCUAACUUCGUG
RNAcentral lists this ribosomal RNA (490 nucleotides) under uncultured bacterium. RNAcentral's name for it is "partial 16S ribosomal RNA". It matches the Rfam family "Bacterial small subunit ribosomal RNA", at positions 29 to 507 of the family's 1533-position model. The record is from RNAcentral.